This is an RNA transcript of Balaenoptera acutorostrata (minke whale), 3965 nucleotides long. It is a transcript of the gene named FLYWCH-type zinc finger 1, with no coding region annotated. The record is from RefSeq and is a predicted model, not a curated record. NCBI's taxonomy places the organism in Eukaryota, Metazoa, Chordata, Mammalia, Artiodactyla, Balaenopteridae. The transcript has 11 exons.
GUGCGCUCCUAGAGGCCGGCUUCCCCGCGGGGCGGUGCGCGCUCCCUACGGCCAGCGGGGCGGCGCGCGCGGCACGGGGCUCGCUCCCGAGAGGGCAGGUGGGGGCGGGGAUUGGGCACCCGGGUUGCGGUGGCCGGAGGGGCCUGGGCCGCGAGGUCGGCGCCUGUGGCUGCGGCGGCCCGAGGCCAGAGGACCCACCGCGGCUCGGUCUCCGGAGAGGGAGGGCCCCGCUGCCGUCGCCGCCCGGCCGGUGCCCGAUGAAAUCAGCCCAGAGAAGUGAUGGGAUUUGCCCCAGGUCUCCCACCCAGCAAGUCAGCGCUAACGACGGGUGUUGGCGGACAGUGAUGGUGGUUCUCACUCUUGUGUACGAAGGACGGAGCCCUUGGACUGCUGGGUUCCUUCCAGGGAGGUGGAGGAGAAAUCCAUCUGCUGGGGCCUGAGCGUGGCCUGGGGGCCAGGCCAUCGUUCCCGGAAUGCCCCUGCCCGAGCCCAGUGAGCAGGAGGGCGAGAGCGUGAAGGCCGGCCAGGAACCCUCCCCUGAGUCCCCUGAGCCGGGCACAGAUGUCGUCCCCGCAGCCCCCAGGAAGCCCACGGAGUUCUCCGAACUGGUCCUACUGACGGCCUCCACUGAGAAUGGGGAUGGAGUGGACUCCCAGCCCAAAGCAGUGCACUGUGUCCUGUCCUUGGAGAUGUCUGGCCCUGACACCCUGGCUGGGUCCCCCCAGAUCCUGCCAGUAGAGGAACAGCAGGGGGCUGUCCAACCAAGCCCCCAGGCCCAGGAACUGAAACACAGCAAGCCAGACACAGCAGCCCCCCAGCCCCUGGAGUUCCUGAGGACCCCAUUUGGGGGCCGCCUGCUGGUGCUGGAGUCCUUCCUGUACAAGCAGGAGAAGGCUGUGGGGGACAAGGUAUACUGGAAGUGCCGCGAGCACACCGAGCUGGGCUGCCGGGGCCGGGCCAUCACCCGUGGCCUAAGGGCCACAGUGAUGCGGGGCCACUGCCACCCGCCCGACGAGGAGGGCCUGGAGGCCCGGCGCCAGAGACAGAAGCUGCCCAGCCCAGCCCUGCCCGAAGGCUUGGGGGAUCCCCAGGGCCCCGGCGGCCGAGUGGAGGAGCCCCUGGAGGGGGUGGGCCCGUGGCUGUGCCCCGAGGAGCCAGAGCCGGCCCCGGGGCCAGUGCUGAGCAAGCCAGCUCCUGAGGAGGAUGAGGGGCUCCGAACCCUGUCGCUGCUGAGCUUGCCUCCCAAGAAACGCCCGACGCUGGGGACCGGAGGGCCCCCGCCCCUGGAGUUCCUGAGGACCUGCUACGGGGGCAGCUUCCUGGUGCACGAGUCCUUCCUCUACAAGCGGGAGAAGGCUGUGGGGGACAAGGUGUACUGGACGUGCCGGGACCACGCACUGCAUGGCUGCCGCAGCCGGGCCAUCACACAGGGCCAGCGGGUGACUGUCAUGCGUGGCCACUGCCACCCGCCUGACGUGGAGGGCCUGGAGGCCCGGCGGCAGCAGGAGAAAGCCGUGGAGUCACUGCGGGCCAGGCCGGGCGGCCCUGGGGGCCAAGCGGACAAGCUGCUCCAAGGUGUGGACAGCCUGUUCUACCGCAGGGGGCCGGGCCCCCUGACUCUCACUAGGCCCCGGCCCAGAAAGCGGUCAAAGGCCAAAGAUCAGGACCUCCUGGCCCAGCCCCAAGGCGAGGAGGACCAGGACGAGGACCUGGGAGGCCCUGAGUUCCUGAGGACCCCUCUGGGGGGCAGCUUCCUGGUGUAUGAGUCCUUCCUCUACAGGCGGGAGAAGGCGGCCGGGGAGAAGGUGUACUGGACGUGCCGGGACCAGGCCCGCAUGGGCUGCCGCAGCCGAGCCAUCACCCAAGGCAAGCGGGUGACAGUGAUGCGAGGCCACUGCCACCCGCCCGACCUGGGGGGCUUGGAGGCCCUGCGGCAGCGAGAGAAACGCCCUGGCACGGCCCAGCGAGGGAGCUCUGGAGGCCCUGAGUUCCUGAGGACCCCUCUGGGGGGCAGCUUCCUGGUGUAUGAGUCCUUCCUCUACAGGCGGGAGAAGGCGGCCGGGGAGAAGGUGUACUGGACGUGCCGGGACCAGGCCCGCAUGGGCUGCCGCAGCCGAGCCAUCACCCAGGGCCAGCGGGUCAUGGUGAUGCGCAGACACUGCCACCCGCCCGACCUGGGGGGCCUGGAGGCCCUGCGGCAGCGGGAGCAGCUCCCCAGCCCGGCCCAGAGGGAAGGCUCAGAAACCCUCCAGCCCCUGGAGUUCCUGAGGACCUCUCUCGGGGGCAGGUUCCUGGUGUACGAGUCCUUCCUCUACAGGAAGGAGAAGGCGGCCGGGGAGAAGGUGUACUGGAUGUGCCGGGACCAGGCCCGCAUGGGCUGCCGCAGCCGGGCCAUCACCCAGGGCCAGCGGGUGACCGUCAUGCGCAGCCACUGCCACCUGCCUGACCUGGCGGGUCUGGAGGCCCUGAGGCAGCGGGAGCGGCUCCCCAGCACAGCCCAGCAGGAGGACCCAGAAAAGACAAAACUUCUGCCUGAAGUUCAACUGUGCUUCGAGACUUGUGCUCCUGAAAGCCAACAGAGCUAUGGGGGACGCAGGAUUGAUCCCUUGUCAGGGAACUAAGAUGCCGCAUGCGGAGGCGCAACUAAGCCCGCACUCUGCAACCGCAGAGCCCACGCACUCUGGAGUCUGCGUGUCACAACUAGAGAGAAGCCCACACGCUGCAACGAGGAGCCCACACUCCACAACGAAAGAUCCCACACUCCACAACGAAAGCUCCCACGUGCCUCAACUAAGACCUGACACAGCCAAAAGAAGGUGGAAGGUACACAUCUGGACAGCGAGUCCCAAUGAGGCCAGCCUCCUCCUGGACUCAGCAGAGGAACCUCACGUGCCGCCUGCGUCAAGGAUGCUCCAGGUCCACACAGAACCCCGGCAUUUCCCACCCGGUUAGAUUUUGCUCGACAAAACCUCUCUUUCACUCUUCCAAAGCAUCCACGGCCUUCACAUUCCCUCAAGAGGCCUCCCAGGAGGAACGCUUCGAUGGUGUAUCCCUGCCGACAAAGAAGAGCCCCAGGAGCUGGUGGCCCGCAGCUGUGUAUGACGUGGAGUGGAGUGACGUGGGGAGGGCCACGGCCACCAAAAGCUCUGAGGAAGGAAGCAUCGUUCACAAAGACACCUGCCCCUGCCCUGGUGCAAAUUCCCAUCCGUUUUCAGAGCCCACGGCUUUGCCAAGGGCUUUCCUGUUGGGUGUGGUCCUGCUUCGGCUCCACAAAGUGGAAAAUCAUCGUGGAGGCCACUUCAAGACGAAGGUGGGGCACGUUUGGGGAAGUUCCUGCUUCUUCAGGCUGAGCUGCCCCGUGCGGUUCCAGCCGUCCCAGGUGUUUUCCGGGCAGGUGCCAGGUGGGCCUUCGUGCUCCUUGGCCAUCUGCUGCCGGGGUGUGGCUGUCGCAUUAACAGAGCAGGCCAAAACCAGAGGCCUUGCUACACCCUCUGUUAGAGUUCCCUUUGCUGUUUUCCAACUUAAAUUAAACCCAGUGUCCACGAUCCCAGUGUCCACUGGGCAGGUGUUGUUCGGGCCCUGGAAGCCAGCCUGACGGCUGCAGGAAGCCAGCGCUGGGCAAACUCCACCGGGGUCGCCCACGUUCGCCUGAUGCAGGAGGAGAGGCAGAUCCCAAUGACAGUGGGCGCAAGCCCUUCUCCCGUCUGAUGGCACGGCAGGGAGCCGGCCUGCAGGGAGCAGUGGGCCCAUGUCCCCCACGAACUCCAGAGGCUGCUGCUUGCUAACAGGGCUGCAUCCUCCCCAGUGGGCUCCUUGAAUUGCAGGGGGAGCACACGGUGCAGGCUCCCUCCCGCCAAGCUGGCCACGCAGCCUGCCGUCCAGCCAUGGGACAGUGACAGCUCAGACAUCCCACCACUGUCCCUCUGCCUAUACAUUUCCCGCAAUAAACCUGAUUUUAUAUCUUA